Mauremys mutica (yellowpond turtle) is the source of this 535-nucleotide long non-coding RNA. RefSeq lists it as uncharacterized. NCBI's taxonomy places the organism in Eukaryota, Metazoa, Chordata, Testudines, Geoemydidae. The transcript is spliced from 3 exons. The record is from RefSeq and is a predicted model, not a curated record.
CUUUCUUAAUUCUUCCCUGAAAGAAGGUUAACCAUACUGGCAAGAGCCCUAAAGAGACAAGCAGGAAAUUUGUCUUAUCCAUUUUAAAUGCCUGUUAUGAAAGAGGUGAAAAAAAUGCUAUUGAUAAAAGUUUUUUUCUGGGAACCUUUUGGCAUCUUCUCAGUGAUGCGUCAUUUCCACUCAGCCAUUUGACAAGAAACACAAUGUUCCAACUUGUUUGCAUGUCUGAAGUGAAGUGGUCCAUGGGGCAGUGCUGUAAAAUAUACAUCAAUUCCAUUCCUCUUUGCUCCUCCCACUCCUCUGGAAGAGGUGGACAGACAGCAUUAUUUCCUGAGGGGUGGGGGAGAACAAAAAUGGAGAAGUGCAGUGCAAAGUCAGCACAAGAGACAGCAGGACAAAGUAACAGAUCAUGCUUUAGCAAAAGCAUCCUAUAAGUAAACGAUGAAAAAUUAUGGAACAAAUAGUAGAAAAUGUGAAGAGCUCCCUAUAUUUCUAAAGAAUGCAGAUUGAAAGAACAUCUUCAAUAAAGGACAAG